GACAAUUAUGUUUGUAUUGUUGAUGAAUUUCUUUGCAGUUUUUUGUUGGUGUAGGAGGCAUAAUAACAUUACUCUUGCAAACUCGUUUGGAAACAAAAAAGAGAAACUGGUGUAAAAUCGAGAAUGGAAGCUCCUAAAAAUAUGGAUAAAGCAGCAUGGACUAAAGAAACGUUGCAUGUCUUUUGUGACCUUUGCAUCAAGGCUAUCGACAUGGGAAUGA
Molecule: long non-coding RNA, 220 nt
Organism: Populus euphratica (Euphrates poplar)
Lineage: Eukaryota; Viridiplantae; Streptophyta; Magnoliopsida; Malpighiales; Salicaceae
Exons: 2
Source: RefSeq, a predicted model, not a curated record